GACGAACGCUGGCGGCGUGCUUAACACAUGCAAGUCGAACGGAAAGGCCUCUUUCGGGGGGUACUCGAGUGGCGAACGGGUGAGUAACACGUGAGUAACCUGCCCUUGACUUUGGGAUAACUUCAGGAAACUGGGGCUAAUACCGGAUAGGAGCUCCUGCUGCAUGGUGGGGGUUGGAAAGUUUCGGCGGUUGGGGAUGGACUCGCGGCUUAUCAGCUUGUUGGUGGGGUAGUGGCUUACCAAGGCUUUGACGGGUAGCCGGCCUGAGAGGGUGACCGGCCACAUUGAGACUGAGAUACAGCCCAGACUCCUACGGGAGGCAGCAGUGGGGAAUAUUGCACAAUGGGUGGAAGCCUGAUGCAGCAACGCCGUGUGCGGGAUGACGGCCUUCGGGUUGUAAACCGCUUUCGCUCAUGACGAAGCUUUGUGUGACGGUAGUGGGUAAAGAAGCACCGGCUAACUACGUG
RNAcentral lists this ribosomal RNA (467 nucleotides) under uncultured bacterium. RNAcentral's name for it is "partial 16S ribosomal RNA". It matches the Rfam family "Bacterial small subunit ribosomal RNA", at positions 28 to 507 of the family's 1533-position model. The record is from RNAcentral.